GAUGAACGCUGGCGGCGUGCCUAAUACAUGCAAGUCGAGCGAAUGGAUCAAGAGCUUGCUCUUAUGAAGUUAGCGGCGGACGGGUGAGUAACACGUGGGUAACCUGCCCAUAAGACUGGGAUAACUCCGGGAAACCGGGGCUAAUACCGGAUAACAUUUUGAACCGCAUGGUUCGAAAUUGAAAGGCGGCUUCGGCUGUCACUUAUGGAUGGACCCGCGUCGCAUUAGCUAGUUGGUGAGGUAACGGCUCAACAAGGCAACGAUGCGUAGCCGACCUGAGAGGGUGAUCGGCCACACUGGGACUGAGACACGGCCCAGACUCCUACGGGAGGCAGCAGUAGGGAAUCUUCCGCAAUUGACGAAAGUCUGACGGAGCAACGCCGCGUGAGUGAUGAAGGCUUUCGGGUCGUAAAACUCUGUUGUUAGGGAAGAACAAGUGCUAGUUGAAUAAGCUGGCACCUUGACGGUACCUAACCAGAAAGCCACGGCUAACUACGUGCCAGCCGCCGCCAGCG
This 515-nucleotide ribosomal RNA is filed under the name uncultured bacterium. RNAcentral's name for it is "partial 16S ribosomal RNA". It matches the Rfam family "Bacterial small subunit ribosomal RNA", at positions 28 to 523 of the family's 1533-position model. The record is from RNAcentral.